CUGAUAAAAUAUGUGUGCUUAAUUAUUAUAUUAUACAUGUAUAAUAAUUCAAUAUAUUUAUAUUAUUUUAUUGUUAUUAUUAAAAGUAUUUAUUACUUUUUUGGCGUAAUGGCUUUUUGAAGAUUAGAUUGUUGUUUUGUUAAUAACCAAACAAGUCUACGAUCUGUAGCUGGUCUGAGAGGAUGUACAGUCACAUUGGGGAUGAGAAAAGACCCGAGUUCCUAUAUGGAGGCAGCAGUGGGGAAUAUUGGACAAUGAGCGCAAGCUUGAUCCAGUAAUAUUGCGUGAGUGAUCUAGAAGGUUAAUUAUUGUAAAACUCUUUUAUAGUUGAUUAUAAUGAAGUUAAACUAUGAAUAAGCCCUGGCUAACAUUCGUGCCAGCAGUCGCGGUAAUACGGAGGGG
This 402-nucleotide ribosomal RNA is filed under the name uncultured bacterium. Its description in RNAcentral is "bacterial SSU rRNA". It matches the Rfam family "Bacterial small subunit ribosomal RNA", at positions 114 to 533 of the family's 1533-position model. The record is from RNAcentral.